GACGAACGCUGGCGGCGUGCCUAAUACAUGCAAGUUGAGCGCUGAAGGUUGGUGCUUGUACCAACUGGAUGAGCAGCGAACGGGUGAGUAACGCGUGGGGAAUCUGCCUUUGAGCGGGGGACAACAUUUGGAAACGAAUGCUAAUACCGCAUAAAAACUUUAAACACAAGUUUUAAGUUUGAAAGAUGCAAUUGCAUCACUCAAAGAUGAUCCCGCGUUGUAUUAGCUAGUUGGUGAGGUAAAGGCUCACCAAGGCGAUGAUACAUAGCCGACCUGAGAGGGUGAUCGGCCACAUUGGGACUGAGACACGGCCCAAACUCCUACGGGAGGCAGCAGUAGGGAAUCUUCGGCAAUGGACGAAAGUCUGACCGAGCAACGCCGCGUGAGUGAAGAAGGGUUUCGGAUCGUAAAACUCUGUUGGUAGAGAAGAACGUUGAUGAGAGUGGAAAGCUCAUCAAGUGACGGUAACUACCCAGAAAGGGACGGCUAACUACGUG
Molecule: ribosomal RNA, 497 nt
Filed under: uncultured bacterium
Lineage: Bacteria
Description: partial 16S ribosomal RNA
Rfam family: Bacterial small subunit ribosomal RNA
Source: RNAcentral